AAUUGAAGGCUUGUAUGAAUGGUUGGACAAAAAGCAAGCUGUCUCAAUUAUAAUAAUUGAAAUUAACUUUUAAGUGAAAAGGCUUAAAUAAAUUAAGGGGACGAUAAGACCCUAUAAAGCUUGACAAUAAGUCAUUUAUAUUAUAAAUUAUUAGUAUAACUUGAUAUUAAGUGGUGUUUGUUGCGUUGGGGCGACGAGAAUAUAAAAGGUAACUGUUCUUAUAACAUUUAAUAACAGAAAUAUCUGGAAAUUUAAUGAUCCUUUUUUAAAGAUCAUAAGAUUAAGUUACUUUAGGGAUAACAGCGUAAUCCUCCUUGAGAGUCCAUAUCGACAGGAGGGGUUGCGACCUCGAUGUUGAAUUAAGGUAUCCUUACGAUGCAGCAGUUGUAAAGGAAGGUCUGUUCGACCUUUAAAUCCUUACAUGAUUUGAGUUCAGACCGGCGUGAGCC
This 449-nucleotide ribosomal RNA is filed under the name Penaeus aztecus (brown shrimp). RNAcentral describes it as "partial 16S ribosomal RNA". It matches the Rfam family "Bacterial large subunit ribosomal RNA", at positions 1978 to 2627 of the family's 2925-position model. The record is from RNAcentral. Lineage: Eukaryota; Metazoa; Arthropoda; Malacostraca; Decapoda; Penaeidae.